RNAcentral lists this ribosomal RNA (253 nucleotides) under uncultured bacterium. RNAcentral's name for it is "partial 16S ribosomal RNA". It matches the Rfam family "Bacterial small subunit ribosomal RNA", at positions 524 to 776 of the family's 1533-position model. The record is from RNAcentral.
UACAGAGGUCUCAAGCGUUGUUCGGAUUCAUUGGGCAUAAAGGGUGCGUAGGCGGCGCGGUAAGUCGGGUGUGAAAUCUCGGGGCUUAACUCCGAAACUGCAUUCGAUACUGCCGUGCUUGAGGACUGGAGAGGAGACUGGAAUUUACGGUGUAGCAGUGAAAUGCGUAGAUAUCGUAAGGAAGACCAGUGGCGAAGGCGGGUCUCUGGACAGUUCCUGACGCUGAGACACGAAGGCCAGGGGAGCAAACGGG